AUUGAACGCUGGCGGCAUGCCUUACACAUGCAAGUCGAACGGUAACAGGUUAAGCUGACGAGUGGCGAACGGGUGAGUAAUAUAUCGGAACGUGCCCAGCCGUGGGGGAUAACGUAGCGAAAGCUACGCUAAUACCGCAUACGAUCUACGGAUGAAAGCGGGGGAUCGCAAGACCUCGCGCGAUUGGAGCGGCCGAUAUCAGAUUAGGUUGUUGGUGAGGUAAAAGCUCACCAAGCCUGCGAUCUGUAGCUGGUCUGAGAGGACGACCAGCCACACUGGAACUGAGACACGGUCCAGACUCCUACGGGAGGCAGCAGUGGGGAAUUUUGGACAAUGGACGCAAGUCUGAUCCAGCAAUGCCGCGUGCAGGACGAAGGCCUUCGGGUUGUAAACUGCUUUUGUACGGAACGAAACGGUGAGCUCUAAUAUAGUUUGCUAAUGACGGUACCGUAAGAAUAAGCACCGGCUAACUACGUGCCAGCCGCCGCGGUAA
This 493-nucleotide ribosomal RNA is filed under the name uncultured bacterium. Its description in RNAcentral is "partial 16S ribosomal RNA". It matches the Rfam family "Bacterial small subunit ribosomal RNA", at positions 30 to 523 of the family's 1533-position model. The record is from RNAcentral.